This 460-nucleotide ribosomal RNA is filed under the name uncultured bacterium. Its description in RNAcentral is "partial 16S ribosomal RNA". It matches the Rfam family "Bacterial small subunit ribosomal RNA", at positions 338 to 795 of the family's 1533-position model. The record is from RNAcentral.
CCUACGGGAGGCAGCAGUGAGGAAUAUUGGUCAAUGGGCGCGAGCCUGAACCAGCCAAGUAGCGUGAAGGAUGACUGCCCUACGGGUGGUAAACUUCUUUUAUAAAGGAAUAAAGUGAGGCACGUGUGCCUUUUUGUACGUACUUUAUGAAUAAGGAUCGGCUAACUCCGUGCCAGCAGCCGCGGUAAUACGGAGGAUCCGAGCGUUAUCCGGAUUUAUUGGGUUUAAAGGGAGCGUAGAUGGGUUGUUAAGUCAGUUGUGAAAGUUUGUGGCUCAACCGUAAAAUUGCAAUUGAUACUGGCAGUCUUGAGUACAGUUGAGGUAGGCGGAAUUCGUGGUGUAGCGGUGAAAUGCUUAGAUAUCACGAAGAACUCCGAUUGCGAAGGCAGCUUACUGAGCUGCCACUGACAUUGAUGCUCGAAAGUGUGGGUAGCAAACAGGAUUAGAUACCCGAGUAGUC